GCAAACUGCACAGGUCUGUCCUUGGUCCCUC
This 31-nucleotide non-coding RNA is filed under the name Mus musculus (house mouse). Lineage: Eukaryota; Metazoa; Chordata; Mammalia; Rodentia; Muridae. The record is from RNAcentral.